AUUUUUGACCGAAGCCCCGAGGUUCAGCGAUUUGUCAAAAUCGCCUAAUCCCCGUUGAGCAUCCACAAAGAAAUAAGCUCGAAUCCACUAGAACAAAAACACACCGGCCAAAUUACAGCAGUUUUCGAAUCACGGAAGGAACACACAGUUCCAGCCACCGCGACAACAAUCUCCUCUACGAUACAAAGAACUCACACGAGUUCAUAGCAUCACAUCUACUCUCAACCAACUAAAGGAAUCAACAAGAUUCAAGACGAGAGAGCCAACAAAUACACAGAGAGAUUUUUCAACUCAAAAUGAAAAAAAAA
RNAcentral lists this long non-coding RNA (308 nucleotides) under Olea europaea (common olive). RNAcentral's name for it is "long non-coding RNA (OEUR_LNC013908)". Lineage: Eukaryota; Viridiplantae; Streptophyta; Magnoliopsida; Lamiales; Oleaceae. The record is from RNAcentral.